Molecule: long non-coding RNA, 625 nt
Filed under: Olea europaea (common olive)
Lineage: Eukaryota; Viridiplantae; Streptophyta; Magnoliopsida; Lamiales; Oleaceae
Description: long non-coding RNA (OEUR_LNC013422)
Source: RNAcentral
UUCAACACUUGAGGGUUGAAUUGAUUUGACGGUUAAAAUUUGAUUAAGAAAUCAUCUUAAGACUAAUCAUGUUAUAGUUCCUAGGAAUCCCCGCACAAACUUUAAUGCUCCUAAUCCUCCAAGAAAUAUUGUAAUUUCUUUUGGUUCCUGAGUUGUCUCUACCUAGUAAAACCCUAAAUUGAUUGCUGAAAAAACCUAGUAGUUUGCAUCUAUACACACAAUCAAUAGCCAAUUUUGUGUAUCUAUUUUAUAGAGUAGAUAUACACACUAAUUUACAAGGAUAGAGAGACCAAUGGUUAAGAAGGUGUAACAAGCUAGUAAAACCUAAAUUAAACAGCAGAUUUUUAACAGUUGGCAGUAAUCCAUAAACGAGCCAACUUGGCUGAAGCUUUUGAAAGUUUCUUUUCUCUAAACCUACAAUGGAAAAUGCCAUUAUUUACCCACCCUACCCCCACUUCCACCCGCAAACCCUAGCCUCAAUUAUCAUUUCUUAAAUAGGGUUCCCUAAAGAAAAGCAAGAGAAGAGAUCUAUAGAGAGAAAGAGAGAGAGAGAGAGAGAGAGAAUUGGAAAGUGGUGAAAAAUGGGGAGAGGAAAGAUCGAGAUCAAGAGGAUUGAGAACUCAAA